CCUACGGGAGACAGCAGUGAGGAAUAUUGGUCAAUGGGCGAGAGCCUGAACCAGCCAAGUCGCGUGAAGGAUGACGGCCCUACGGGUUGUAAACUUCUUUUGUCAGGGAGCAAUUGGGUCCACGCGUGGGCUUAGCGAGAGUACCUGAAGAAAAAGCAUCGGCUAACUCCGUGCCAGCAGCCGCGGUAAUACGGAGGAUGCGAGCGUUAUCCGGAUUUAUUGGGUUUAAAGGGUGCGUAGGCGGAAUAUCAAGUCAGCGGUAAAAAUUCGGGGCUCAACCCCGUCGUGCCGUUGAAACUGAUGUUCUGGAGUGGGCGAGAGGUAUGCGGAAUGCGUGGUGUAGCGGUGAAAUGCAUAGAUAUCACGCAGAACUCCGAUUGCGAAGGCAGCAUACCGGCGCCCAACUGACGCUGAAGCACGAAAGCGUGGGUAUCGAACAGGAUUAGAUACCCCUGUAGUC
Molecule: ribosomal RNA, 460 nt
Filed under: uncultured bacterium
Lineage: Bacteria
Description: partial 16S ribosomal RNA
Rfam family: Bacterial small subunit ribosomal RNA
Source: RNAcentral